Molecule: long non-coding RNA, 1484 nt
Filed under: Sus scrofa (pig)
Lineage: Eukaryota; Metazoa; Chordata; Mammalia; Artiodactyla; Suidae
Description: lncRNA (ENSSSCG00065020078.1)
Source: RNAcentral
GUUGUUUUGUUUUUUGCUUUUUAGGGCCACACCUCGUGGCAUAUGGAUGUUCCCAGGCUAGGGGUCCAAUCGGAGCUGAGCCACUGGUCUACACCACAGCCAUAGCAAUGCCGGAUCUGAGCCACGUCUGCAAUCUACACCACAGCUGACGGCAAUGCCAGUUCCUUAACCCACUGAGCGAAGCCAGGGAUCAAACCCACAACCUCAUGGUUCCUAGUCAGAUUCAUUUCUGCUGUGCCACAACGGGAACUUCGGAUUGUUUUUCUUCUCAGAAGACCAACGCCUACUCCUUUGGGGUUUCUUCUAAAAUCAUUUCAGCAAAAAUACUGCCACCCAGUGUUUUGAUUAGAAGAAGCACAGUUGACCACAUAACACAUAAAGUUUUCUAGACUGAAUAGCAAAUAGCAUUUUCUUACACACAAAGAAGACCUACACUUUCUGCCUUCAAAGCCCAUAUCUUGCUGCUGCGUUGUGUUGAGAGCCUAUUCCAGCUGUUGGAACGAUCAUUUUGUCUUUAAAAUACAAAUUCUAAGAUAAUCCUGCUAAUAGUCCAGCCUUAUUCAGUUGUUCUGAUCUGGCUGAGGGUUGUUGCAGGUGUCACCUCACAGGUUUGCAAUGAAACUUCACAAUGAAACUUUGAACAGGGCCACUCAGGUCCUAACACUCAAUAAGCAUCAGCUGUUGUAUUUCGUUUUCUUCAUCCCUCAUACCUGUGACUAUUCUGAUUAUUAAGACUUCUAUAAGGGAACAGAUAAAUUAUUGUGGGUCUUACUAUGCCCUUUUCCCCCAAAAAAAUAUUAUUUGUUAAAUACGAACUUGAUAAAAGAAGUUUAUUGGGAAACAUUCAACUACAGCGGGAUAGAUUCUUUCUUCGGGAAUACUAAGGAGGGAGACGUCAUCUGAAGGGGGAGAGGAAAGUUCACUGCAAAGAAAGGCCUCAGCCCUAAGUCUUCAAGCCUGGGUAGCACUUUGCAAAGCAAAUUCUAAGCGGCAAGUGCGGCCCUGGAAACAGAGACAUCAGAGACCCUGGCAGGGUGUAGGGGAGGGGAGACUGCAGGGGCUGCCACCAGACAGUAUUAGCAGCAAAUUGUUAACAGGUUGGAAAGGCAUGCAUGGCACUGAAAUCUGUUAAACAGGUAUCAGUGGGGUGCUGAAGUAAUACUUAGUACUGAGGUAACACUUCACACUGAAAUCUGAUCAACAAGUAUCAGUGGGGUGCUGAAGUAAUACUUAGCACUGAGGUAACACUUCACACUGAAAUCUGUUCAACAAGAAUCAGAGAGGCGCUGAAGUAACACUUAGUACUGAGGUAACACUUCACAGUGAAAUCUGUUAAACAGGUAUCAUGGGGUGCUGAAGUAAUACUUAGCACUGAGGUAACACUUCACACUGAAAUCUGUUCAACAAGUAUCAGUGAGGCGCUGAAGUAACACUUAGUACUGAGGUAACACUUCACACUGAAAUCUGUUCAACAAGUAUCAGUG